This is a long non-coding RNA of Lepidothrix coronata (blue-crowned manakin), 533 nucleotides long. RefSeq lists it as uncharacterized. NCBI's taxonomy places the organism in Eukaryota, Metazoa, Chordata, Aves, Passeriformes, Pipridae. The transcript is spliced from 3 exons. The record is from RefSeq and is a predicted model, not a curated record.
UCUCGCUCUGUCAUUGUAACGACACCACAGCUUGACCCAGCCACUGAACUGCCUAAUGCAACAAGAUGAUUGCAAUCAGCAGCCAUGGAAAUUAAUAGCACCAUUCUUUCAAUUUUUAAUGCAGUUUGAGAGACUUAAAUCAAAUCUGGUGGGGGACAAAGUAGCCAGUGAUGAAUUCAUGCAGGAAGCAGUGAGCACGUUACCUGCACUGUGGUUAUGCCUCGUGUCAGUGCUCCUAAAAGUCUGCUACCAGAGAAGCUUCAACAACUUUUUAGAGGGUCCAAAAAGGAUGCUACUUCCUUGGUUUUCAGUGGAUUUCUGCACAAAGUUCCCCCUGAAGACAGAUUUAGUGGCAUUGGCGUCAGCAGCCGAAGUGAUGGAUGGGCUUCACAGCUCAAACAGCCUUCAGGACAGCUGCUUGAAGAUAAGUGUCUAAGACUAGCAAUUUAUGCUUUCUCACAUUCCUAAGCCACAGGAUGUUCAUGGGGACCUUUUUUCUUUACUGUUAGCUUUGAAACAGGAGCAAAAUAGAA